RNAcentral lists this ribosomal RNA (491 nucleotides) under uncultured bacterium. RNAcentral's name for it is "partial 16S ribosomal RNA". It matches the Rfam family "Bacterial small subunit ribosomal RNA", at positions 29 to 507 of the family's 1533-position model. The record is from RNAcentral.
GUGAACGCUGGCGGUAGGCCUAACACAUGCCCGUCGAACGGCAGCACAGUAAGAGCUUGCUCUUACGGGUGGCGAGUGGCGGACGGGUGAGGAAUACAUCGGAAUCUACUUUUUCGUGGGGGAUAACGUAGGGAAACUUACGCUAAUACCGCAUACGACCUACGGGUGAAAGCAGGGGAUCUUCGGACCUUGCGCGAUUGAAUGAGCCGAUGUCGGAUUAGCUAGUUGGCGGGGUAAAGGCCCACCAAGGCGACGAUCCGUAGCUGGUCUGAGAGGAUGAUCAGCCACACUGGAACUGAGACACGGUCCAGACUCCUACGGGAGGCAGCAGUGGGGAAUAUUGGACAAUGGGCGCAAGCCUGAUCCAGCCAUACCGCGUGGGUGAAGAAGGCCUUCGGGUUGUAAAGCCCUUUUGUUGGGAAAGAAAAGCAGCAGGUUAAUACCCCGCUGUUCUGACGGUACCUAAAGAAUAAGCACCGGCUAACUUCGUG